This 237-nucleotide ribosomal RNA is filed under the name Anabaena sp. MDT14b. Its description in RNAcentral is "partial 16S ribosomal RNA". It matches the Rfam family "Bacterial small subunit ribosomal RNA", at positions 316 to 567 of the family's 1533-position model. Lineage: Bacteria; Bacillati; Cyanobacteriota; Cyanophyceae; Nostocales; Nostocaceae. The record is from RNAcentral.
GGACUGAGCCACGGCCCGGGCUCCCACGGGAGGCAGCAGUGGGGAAUUUUCCGCAAUGGGCGAAAGCCUGACGGAGCAAUACCGCGUGAGGGAGGAAGGCUCUUGGGUUGUAAACCUCUUUUCUCAGGGAAGAAAAAAAUGACGGUACCUGAGGAAUAAGCAUCGGCUAACUCCGUGCCAGCAGCCGCGGUAAUACGGAGGAUGCAAGCGUUAUCCGGAAUGAUUGGGCGUAAAGGG